GAUGAACGCUGGCGGCGUGCCUAAUACAUGCAAGUCGAGCGAACAGACGAGGAGCUUGCUCCUCUGACGUUAGCGGCGGACGGGUGAGUAACACGUGGAUAACCUACCUAUAAGACUGGGAUAACUUCGGGAAACCGGAGCUAAUACCGGAUAAUAUAUUGAACCGCAUGGUUCAAUAGUGAAAGACGGUUUUGCUGUCACUUAUAGAUGGAUCCGCGCCGCAUUAGCUAGUUGGUAAGGUAACGGCUUACCAAGGCAACGAUGCGUAGCCGACCUUAGAGGGUGAUCGGCCACACUGGAGCUGAGACACGGCCCAGGCUCCGACGGGAGGCAGCAGUAGGGACUCUUCCGCAAUGGGCGAAAGCCUGACGGAGCAACGCCGCGUGAAUGAUGAAGGGCUUCGGAUCGUAAAACUCUGUUAUUAGGGAAGAACAAAUGUGUAAGUAACGAUGCGCGUCUGGACGGUACCGAUACAGAAAGCCACGGCAACCUACGU
Molecule: ribosomal RNA, 496 nt
Filed under: uncultured bacterium
Lineage: Bacteria
Description: partial 16S ribosomal RNA
Rfam family: Bacterial small subunit ribosomal RNA
Source: RNAcentral